CAGUAGCCGCGGGAAUACGAAGGGGGCUAGCGUUGUUCGGAUUUACCGGGCGUAAAGCGCACGUAGGCGGAUCGAUCAGUCAGGGGUGAAAUCCCAGAGCUCAACUCUGGAACUGCCUUUGAUACUGUCGAUCUGGAGUAUGGAAGAGGUGAGUGGAAUUCCGAGUGUAGAGGUGAAAUUCGUAGAUAUUCGGAGGAACACCAGUGGCGAAGGCGGCUCACUGGUCCAUUACUGACGCUGAGGUGCGAAAGCGUGGGGAGCAAACAGGAUUAGAUACCCCUGUAGUCCCUGUCUCUUAUAC
Molecule: ribosomal RNA, 301 nt
Filed under: uncultured bacterium
Lineage: Bacteria
Description: partial 16S ribosomal RNA
Rfam family: Bacterial small subunit ribosomal RNA
Source: RNAcentral